CUCAAAUAUCGAACAAAGAAGUUGUGAGGCUCAAAGGUGUAGUUAAAAAACGACUAAAGUAUCGAACAAAGGGUGUACUUUGUUCGAGGGCUCCAGAGAAAGGAGUCGAG
This is a long non-coding RNA of Cucurbita moschata (crookneck pumpkin), 110 nucleotides long. RefSeq lists it as uncharacterized. The record is from RefSeq and is a predicted model, not a curated record. The transcript is spliced from 3 exons. Lineage: Eukaryota; Viridiplantae; Streptophyta; Magnoliopsida; Cucurbitales; Cucurbitaceae.